Molecule: non-coding RNA, 21 nt
Organism: Caenorhabditis elegans
Lineage: Eukaryota; Metazoa; Nematoda; Chromadorea; Rhabditida; Rhabditidae
Source: Ensembl
UUCCUGUUUUGAAUCGGCUGC